GUCACUGAAACCCGCGGGCCGCAGGGCAGGAUUUCCAGACUGCCGAAGCACCUGGAGGGCUCUGGGGGACCCGCCCCGCUUCGGUCUUCGUGCAAGGGACUCCUGCAGUCUUGCCCGCUCUGAGGGCUCCUCACCUCGGGAUCUGCCCCACUCUGGGCAGAUGCUCAAAAGGGACAGUUAGCGCCUGGGGACAGGACCCCUUUCAUAGGCUUGUCAGUGUGACCUUUGGUAACUGGGCUGUGCAGGCGUUUUGGCAACGCAGACCGCCCUUUCUGGCCGAGGAAGAUUUUAGCAAGUUAUGCUGGAAAGAGGGGACUGGACUGCCUGUCCAUGCCUCAGAACUCAAACAGGCUUGUUCUGAACAUUCUUGCCGUCUUUACGGGUGAAAUGGAGUUUGUCAUCUUGCAAGUUGGGUUUGGCUUUCUGUGUGACCUUUGUAGUUGAAGGAGUCAGGCUCCUUGGAGCCUUUUUCCCCACGUGGCCUCAGCCUUGGCCUGCAAAGGCUUGAGCAAACACUGCAGUUUCUAGCCGCUGAAGGCCACAUUCCUAGAACAGGCCUCCCCACCCUUCAAGCGCCCUCUGGGGAUCGCUUCAAGCUGCCUAAAGCUGCCGAGAGAAUUUGCCGUUUGUUCCAGCAACACCUGAACUCAGGGCUCCUUCUCCCAGCCUCUACGGAGGCUCUCUGGGAGCCUAACUUCUCAAGGCGCUUUAGUGAUGCCUGGAGCCCUGGACUAGGGGAAGCACCACUGGAGCCAGGAGAGUGAUCCACGCGGCAGAGUAAGGAACAAAGCAAGAGGUGGAAGUGCGAUCAAACACCAGAUAUGUAUGACCUGGGUAUGACAUCUGUGUGAAUCGCAAGAGGCGGGAGCUUGCCGCAGCCUUGACCUCCUGGGCUCAAGCGAGCCUCCCACCUCAGCCUCCCGGGGAGCUGAGGCCACAGACCUGCGCCACCGUGACCGGCUAAAGUCUGUCUUUCAAGCACUUGUCAAGGACUGCACCAGACACUCGACGGUGGGUGCUGUUGGUUCUUGGCCAGGGGGAUGACUCGGGGAGGUAAAGCAUUGUCGGUGUGCCUGCUGCAUCUAACCCACUGUGGUCGGGAGCACAGCGGCCCGUGAAAACGCCCUCGGCCCCGUCUCCUGGCUUGAUGCUGAGUGUUGCCUGGCUUUGCGAACACACCUCCCUUCAGGAGAGUCCUGAGCACUUGCCACCCACACUCCCCACUGGCAGGACUCCGAGAGGAUGGUGACCCAGCUCCUCUCAGCCGUUGACCACGCCGGCCCCAGCCACCACUUCCUGGACGCUACUCCCCCCUCCAGACCUACAGUGACCCCGGGGGUUCCAGCUCUCAGAUGCAAUGGAUGCUCGCCUUAUUGCUUUGCCCUCUUAUCUGAUUUCCCAGCAUUUGAUACUGAUUUGAUCGUGUUCUCUUCUCCCUCCCCUGACUUCCCCUCUACCUGUUUCUGCCUUCUGUGUCCUCACCUUCUGAUCCUCUCUUCACGGUGGUUGUCCCAAGUUCCAUCUUUCCAUCUCCCGCCCACUUCCCUGCCCACCUGUCACCCUCUCUGCGUAGCCCUCUCCAAGCCUGUGACCUCAACCAACAGAUAUUUCGGUGACGCUCAACUCUUCACAUCCAGCCCGGAGCUCUCUCCCGGUCCCUGUCUGAAUCUCCUUGGACUCCCCCAGCUGCCUCUCAUUCCACCCUCUCCUCCCUGUCCCAGUGAAUGUCACCACCACCUGCUGAUUGCCUAGGUCCGAAGACUGGAAGGUUUCCAGGUGCCUCCCUCUUGCUCACCCUGAAAUGCAAUUAGUCACGAAUUCUGCUUUCUCAGUAUGUUUUCCCAUUCCAGCUCCCCAGCUUUGCUCAGCCUCUCGCCGUUGGUUGUUGGGAUGACUGACACUGCCUUCCAACCGGUUCCUCAGCCUCUAGCCUGGCCUCCUUCCAAUUCAUCGUCUGCCCUGCUGCCAGGACUAACCCUUUAAAACGCACAUCAGGAUUGCCUGAACCCGCGGGUUCGAGACCCGCCUGGGCAGCGAGACCUCAUCUCUACAAUAAAUCAAAA
This is a long non-coding RNA of Carlito syrichta (Philippine tarsier), 2063 nucleotides long. RefSeq lists it as uncharacterized. The transcript is spliced from 5 exons. The record is from RefSeq and is a predicted model, not a curated record. Lineage: Eukaryota; Metazoa; Chordata; Mammalia; Primates; Tarsiidae.